UUUGACACAUUAUGCUGGUGAUGGUGACGGUGAGGAUGAGUCAAUAGGCCUUGUGAAGAGUGCUGCUGCAGUUUCCUCCUUCAUAGGCUGGCUGCUAUGUUCGGGAGCACGAGUCCCGGCACAUCAAGGCCAUCUUCUCAUUAGCGUACCAGCAGUUUAAGGAUCAUGCUUGCGGGCCUUCUAUGUAAAUCACAAACGUUCACCCAGGACAGGGAAGUCAUCUUGCUCAUCGACGGCGUCUCUUUAAAAACUUAGGGACGAUCUAGAAUAUCUCCAACAAUGUCUCACUAAGCAACACCUCAGCGCAUAUCGUCGAUCUGUUACCAAAGUUCCCGAUUCAUGUUAGACAUUGGUAAAGUGUAAGUAACAAUUGCACUUCAGUUGAUAGCAAGAAGAGAGAUCAUUGCAGAUUACGACAACAGAACCUAAGAGCAGAAGCUGAGACCAUUCUGACUUCCUUUAUUUGUCUAAGAGCUCUUCACUCUGAGAACCUGACUUAGACCGUCCAUAAAUACCAAACCACAACUGCUACAUUACAAAAUUUAACUUUUGGAUUAUCGAAAUAUGAAACUAUCUUGACAAUGCACACAUCCUCUAUAUCUACCUAUCUGGUCAAAUCAGAGACAUUAGGGUUGCUGUUUAUUAUCUUUUUGCUUUAUGAUUUUAUCCAGUUUGUACAUUCAUCUUAGAAUAAACAGUUGGGACUUAUGUAGCAAAAUAUUUCAUUAUGUAUUAAAGAUGCACUACCAGACUAUGAAAUGAGGCAAGCACUCAUGUAAGUAAAUCACAGUACCCCAAAAAAUACAAUGUUAAUUUACAAAACUUGGGACUUGAAAAUAAAUGGGAGAUCCUUACACUUUGAAAGGUACUCCUGACAUACAAAAAGGUGUCCUUAGCCUUUCAUAACUUGUCAAACACAAUAGCACCAUGAUCUAUACCAAGCUAUCGAUUACCCUUGAUUCUACAAGAAACAACAAAAUUCCGAACCUUAAUGUGCAAAUUUCAGAACUUCAUACCGGUGCUCGAAAGGAACUGCUCCAGCAGGCCAAAACAUUGUAUCUAGAACCUAUUGCCAACUUAAACACACUGCACUUCCAGAAGAUUGCUCAUGGAACAUAAGUACUAACCACAAGCUUCUAGCAGAACACUACCAGAUGCGGUGUUCAAUAUAAAAAUAUUUCCACAUGUUUAGGUGAUACUGUAAAAUGAAAACUAUUGUUUUUUGGACGCAUUAGGUUUAACAUGUACUUACUCGAACAGGCGAACAAUAACAUUGCAGAACGUCAACAUGCUUGAACAUAAAUCCACUGAAACAAAUAGAGUAAAUUACUAGAUAACCCAAUAAUAUAGGUCAACAUUACAUCAGUUACACAGUGCAGUAUCCAAAUGGUAGUAGACCUAGUUCGAUCGUUUCCGUUACUGUAUGUUCUAGAAACUGGAAACAGCUCACCAGUGCAGCAACCAAACUUUACAGUAUAGAUACUAAAUUUUAUUCUCCAGGAAAAACAUACUAACACCUAACAAAUGUACUCCAUGAAACUUGAGAGCCCGCCGUUCUGAAUUAUUUCCAAAUGCUAAUGGGAGAAACCAUGUUCAAUAGAUGAUAAGAUCGCAGCACAGGUAUCAGAAGGAAACUGUAUCACAUUUUCAUCAUGGUUGUCAUUUAGGAGAAAAUGUAGGUAACACAGAAUUUCUUGUUUCAAACAAUCACUACUAGGUCCCUAUAGCAAUUUGAUAAGAAAAGAAGCAACGGGUGAUGCUUGAAACAUGUCAAAAGAAGAUUAAAUAUUGACUUGACAAAUGUGAGGGAGAUCAAGGUGUCAUAUCUCAAGGAAGUGAAGAAUGACACUGACCACACUAGACAAGCAAAAUCGAAAAUGACAGGUAACAAGGAUAUAUGGAGAAGGAUUAAGUAUGGCCACUGUACACCCCUAUCUGUUGUAAAACAAUAAUAUGAAUAUUACCAUAGGAAAAUUUAAAUUCAUGAUUCAGAUAAUUGAUACCUUAUAGCUACCACAUAGGCACACACAAAAAACAUAUAUCUAUCAUCUACAGCUAAAGAAACUAGUCUAGGAUCAAGAGAUUAAGCUAAUAAAUCUACUCAAGGAUUGAGAAAUUAAGACCCAAUUUAUUCCUUUGCUGCUGCUAUUGCAAGCACUCAACUAACACAAACAGUGCUGCAAUAAUAUGCAAACCCUGCAGCACUAGAAACUGGGUUCAGUUCCAAAGCCUACAAAUAAAAACCUUUAUGUUUUUUUUAUUAUCAACAAACCAUUAAGGUUUUGACAGCUGAGUUGUCUUUCUAGACGGAAAUACCCAACUUAUUAUCUAACCCGAUUAAAAAACGAUUAAUGCAGUGUUGUUUCAUGAUAAAGGCAAGGCGCACUGCUUUACUGAAAGCAAUAGUUCAGACAAAGUACAGGUAACUGGCUGGGGUCACAAGCUUACAGAAUAUGAUUGUAUGUACGGUCCUGAACACUGAUCAAUUAUUUAUUUCGACCAGCAAAUAGCAAUGUCGACAUGGGCGUCACAGUCCAUAUGCACAAAUAACAAUGAAGUGAGGCCAGGACUCAAGACCGCACCCUGACUCCCUGAGGAGACCGCCAGCAAAGGAGUCAAGGGACGCUGAACCUGGCCAGUACCCUAGCAAACAGCAAACCCUCCCUGUCAGGGCGGAUGCAGCGAGGCCCCUUCCGCAAAUGCCAAAUCGUACGCCCGAUAGUUGACACAGGGGCACUGGGACCGCGAUUUCACGCGGGGAAAACAUUGCCGUGAUCGACUGAUGCCGCAUUGGUGGUAACCACUGCAGCAGCAAGCGCAGGAACAGAGAUCAAUCCACCCGCUCCCCCACCAAAAUGGCUAAUCAAUUCGGCUGGGGAGGGAGGCCAACCAGAUGGAUCGCGAUUAGCAAUGCGAGGUAACAUCGUAGGCCGGAUUCGUACGCGCGAGGCUAGGUGUGAGGGUGCGGCCAAUUAAUUCGAAAUUAACAUCGGGAGGGGAGAGGGAGAGGGAGAGAGGGAGGGAGGGGAGGGGGGAACCAAUACCGUGAUCACGCGCGGGGUUAGAGCAGGGCGUUGGCGGCGCGGCGGCGAGAAACGGCGGCCGGCGGGAGGAAGGAGGCGGGCGGCGAGAGCGCUUUUUGGUUGCGCCUCUCUCUUCCUCGGGGCGGAGCAGGGGGGCGCCGUCGUUUCGGCCAGGG
RNAcentral lists this long non-coding RNA (3199 nucleotides) under Triticum aestivum (bread wheat). Its description in RNAcentral is "long non-coding RNA (TAES_LNC001666)". The record is from RNAcentral. Lineage: Eukaryota; Viridiplantae; Streptophyta; Magnoliopsida; Poales; Poaceae.